GACGAACGCUGGCGGCGUGCUUAACACAUGCAAGUCGAACGGAAAGGCCCUGCUUUUGUGGGGUGCUCGAGUGGCGAACGGGUGAGUAACACGUGAGUAACCUGCCCUUGACUUUGGGAUAACUUCAGGAAACUGGGGCUAAUACCGGAUAGGAGCUCCUGCUGCAUGGUGGGGGUUGGAAAGUUUCGGCGGUUGGGGAUGGACUCGCGGCUUAUCAGCUUGUUGGUGGGGUAGUGGCUUACCAAGGCUUUGACGGGUAGCCGGCCUGAGAGGGUGACCGGCCACAUUGGGACUGAGAUACGGCCCAGACUCCUACGGGAGGCAGGCGUGGGGAAUAUUGCACCAUGGGCGGAAGGCUGAUGCAGCAACGCCGCGUGGGGGAUGGCGGCCUUCGGGUUGUAAACCGCUUUCGCCUUUGACGAAGCGUGAGUGACGGUAAUGGGUAAAGAAGCACCGGCUAACUACGUG
RNAcentral lists this ribosomal RNA (468 nucleotides) under uncultured bacterium. Its description in RNAcentral is "partial 16S ribosomal RNA". It matches the Rfam family "Bacterial small subunit ribosomal RNA", at positions 28 to 507 of the family's 1533-position model. The record is from RNAcentral.